UUCUGUUCAUGGAUAUCUCCUGCUAUGGGCCGUCAAUCACAGGGCAUCUCCAUGAAAGAUAACUUUCCAUACAAAUGGCUUCUUUGCUACCUUGCAGCUGUAGUGACAGUGUAAUGUCAAGGCAUUUCACAGCCUCUUUGCGAUGAAGGUAUUUUAAAUAUUCAGCUGUCCAUAUUAAUUUACGUUAUUUCAUUUUUGUUAAUAUGUAUUAGAAGCUUUUGUUCUGUAGAGAGAACAUCAUACUUAUUUUUGUUGUUCGAUUGGUUGGUAAACUAGCAAUUGCUUGCAUUAUUCCAGAUAAUGCUGCCUUUCUCUAAGCUUAAAGGCAAGCUGGGUUUUCUCAGCAGCCUUUGUUGUUUGAUACUAGUUUUAUAAUAUGACAAUUUCAACAGAAUUAUCUGAUUUUUGAAUAUUUUUUUCAUCGAAUAAAUCAUGAAUUAACUGAGGAUAUAUCGUAAUUUACUGCAGGUUUCUUAGAAACUUGAUCUUCAAUAAUAUUAUAUAUGAAUACUUCCUUCUUUAUUGCCUGAAAUUGAAUAAAGCACCCUUAUGUGUUUAUUGUGAAAACUAAGUUGAUGGUAUAGACGAGAAAGGGAAAUAUUGAUAACUAGUUGGAAUUCAAAAAGCGACAAUAUAUGAAAUUGAGUUAUAGAUAUAUCGUCGUGUUGAGAAACAUAUAAACAAAUUUUACCCUAGAAAAUUAAAACGUAAACUGAUUUAAAAUUGCAAGUAUCAUUCUACAGCAAAGGUGAUCUACAGGGCGUUCUCUUUCUUCUAUUAUAUUUUCCAGCAAGUUCAACCUUGUCGAGUUGCCUUGUAUCUCCAAUUAUCUGCAAUAUAUAUUGUGUUAUAUGUUGUUAGUUAAAAAAGUUAUUCUAACAAAGUACAUUAUCCUAAUGAAGUUGGAGUGUACUUACUUUGCAAGAAACUGAGCAAUAAUCAUAGAAUUCAUCCUUGAUUUUUCCUUCGCAUAUGACGCACUUAGGGUUUCCCCCGUUUCCUCCUUUUGGCUUCAGCAAUAUAACUUUGUGAUUGUUUAUUACAUACGGCUGAAUUUUCCUAACAUCUACCUCACUUUCUAUAUCAGCUUUUCGAACCGAUGCUUUUUCCGAUACUUUAAAUAUCUGCGCAUUAUGUUAAAAAAAAAAAUAAAUUUAUAGCAGCUCUAACAAGUGUUGUUUUGGUGAAGGAUUGAUGAUUAUGUACCUGUAAAAAUUGGUGAAGUUCAUGUUCAGCUUCUGCAUCAACCCUCCAACAUGAUUCACAAAGAGGUUUGUUUUUGCACAUUUUACAAAAAAAUGUACAAUAUUGAUUAUGUACCUCACAUAUACAAU
RNAcentral lists this long non-coding RNA (1334 nucleotides) under Solanum lycopersicum (tomato). RNAcentral describes it as "long non-coding RNA (SLYC_LNC001290)". The record is from RNAcentral. Lineage: Eukaryota; Viridiplantae; Streptophyta; Magnoliopsida; Solanales; Solanaceae.